GACGAACGCUGGCGGCGUGCUUAACACAUGCAAGUCGAACGAAGAGCGAUGGAAGCUUGCUUCUAUCACUCUUAGUGGCGAACGGGUGAGUAACGCGUAAUCAACCCGCCCUUCAGAGGGGGACAACAGUUGGAAACGACUGCUAAUACCGCAUACGAUCUAAUCUCGGCAUCGAGGAAAGAUGAAAGGUGGCCUCUAUUUAUAAGCUAUCACUGAAGGAGGGGAUUGCGUCUGAUUAGCUAGUUGGAGGGGUAACGGCCCACCAAGGCGAUGAUCAGUAGCCGGUCUGAGAGGAUGAACGGCCACAUUGGGACUGAGACACGGCCCAGACUCCUACGGGAGGCAGCAGUGGGGAAUCUUCCGCAAUGGACGAAAGUCUGACGGAGCAACGCCGCGUGAGUAAUGACGGCCUUCGGGUUGUAAAGCUCUGUUAAUCGGGACGAAAGGCCUUCUUGCGAACAGUUAGAAGGAUUGACGGUACCGGAAUAGAAAGCCACGGCUAACUACGUG
Molecule: ribosomal RNA, 510 nt
Filed under: uncultured bacterium
Lineage: Bacteria
Description: partial 16S ribosomal RNA
Rfam family: Bacterial small subunit ribosomal RNA
Source: RNAcentral